GCUUGCGAUGGAUCCAAAAAAGAAGAAGGAUAUAUUGGACGAUCUGAUUACGUUCAGCAAGUCUAAAGACUACUACAAGGAGCGGCAUCCGGAUUCGGAUUUGGACACCGCCACCUCAAGGUCAUGACCAUUUUCGGGUUGCUCUCCUUAGGGAUGAAAACGAGUCUAGGCAGGGUCGAGUAACUAACGGAAAAGGGACAUGGUUGGUUUGUAUCAUGGCCACAGCCAAGAAAUUUUCUAGGCAGGGUCGAGUGACUAACGGAAAAGGCGGUGUAUCUGAAAACUUUGUAAUCAUCGAUUUUUCUGAUAUUUAAAUGAGUAAAACCAAUGAUGAUUAUAAAAAGUUGAUUGUAACUGGAUUA
This 362-nucleotide long non-coding RNA is filed under the name Helianthus annuus (common sunflower). RNAcentral describes it as "hypothetical non coding rna". The record is from RNAcentral. Lineage: Eukaryota; Viridiplantae; Streptophyta; Magnoliopsida; Asterales; Asteraceae.